Molecule: ribosomal RNA, 1325 nt
Filed under: metagenome
Description: bacterial LSU rRNA
Rfam family: Bacterial large subunit ribosomal RNA
Source: RNAcentral
AAAAUACGAUAGUACUCGGAGUCUUCGGACAAAGAGAUAGUGCGCCUAAGGGCUUCCAAGAAAAACCUCUAAACUUCAGGUAAUUAGUACCAGUACCGUAAACCGACACAGGUAGUUGAGGAGAGAAUCCUAAGGUGCUCGAGAGAUUCAUGGCUAAGGAAUUAGGCAAAAUAGACCUGUAACUUCGGGAGAAAGGUCGCCAGCGCAAGCUGGCCGCAGUGAAGAGGUCCAGGCGACUGUUUAUCAAAAACACAGGGCUCUGCAAAAUCGUAAGAUGAAGUAUAGGGCCUGACACCUGCCCGGUGCUGGAAGGUUAAGAGGAGAUGUUAUCUUCGGAGAAGCAUUGAAUUGAAGCCCCAGUAAACGGCGGCCGUAACGAUAACGGUCCUAAGGUAGCGAAAUUCCUUGUCGGGUAAGUUCCGACCUGCACGAAUGGUGUAACGAUCUGGACACUGUCUCAGCCAUGAGCUCGGUGAAAUUGUAGUAACGGUGAAGAUGCCGUUUACCCGCAGUGGGACGAAAAGACCCUGUGCACCUUUACUAUAGCUUAGUAUUGACCUUGGAUAAAUGAUGUGUAGGAUAGGUUGGAGACUGUGAAGUGGCGUCGCCAGGCGUUGUGGAGUCAUUGUUGAAAUACAACCCUUUGUUUAUCUGAGGCCUAACCCCGUUUUGCGGGGGACAUUGCUUGGUGGGUAGUUUGACUGGGGUGGUCGCCUCCAAAAGAGUAACGGAGGCUUCUAAAGGUUCCCUCAGUACGCUUGGUAACCGUGCGUAGAGUGCAAUGGCAUAAGGGAGCUUGACUGAGAGACAUACAGGUCGAUCAGGUACGAAAGUAGAGCAUAGUGAUCCGGUGGUUCCGCAUGGAAGGGCCAUCGCUCAAAGGAUAAAAGGUACGCCGGGGAUAACAGGCUGAUCUCCCCCAAGAGCUCAUAUCGACGGGGGGGUUUGGCACCUCGAUGUCGGCUCGUCACAUCCUGGGGCUGGAGAAGGUCCCAAGGGUUGGGCUGUUCGCCCAUUAAAGUGGCACGCGAGCUGGGUUCAGAACGUCGUGAGACAGUUUGGUCUCUAUCUACUGUGGGCGUUAGAAAUUUGAGUGGAUCUGAUUCUAGUACGAGAGGACCGAAUUGGACAAACCUCUAGUGUAUCUGCUGUCCCGCCAGGGGCACCGCAGAGUAGCUACGUUUGGAAGGGAUAAGCGCAGAAAGCAUAUAAGCGCGAAACCCACCACAAGAUGAGAUUUCUUUUAAGGAUCGUGGAAGAUGACCACGUUGAUAGGCUAUAGAUGUAAAGGCAGUAAUGUCAUAGUCGAGUAGUACUAAUAAUCC